Molecule: long non-coding RNA, 1949 nt
Filed under: Capsicum annuum
Lineage: Eukaryota; Viridiplantae; Streptophyta; Magnoliopsida; Solanales; Solanaceae
Description: long non-coding RNA (CANN_LNC006936)
Source: RNAcentral
UCGGAGCAUCUCUAAUGCUUACUUCUCUUAUAUUUCGUCCCAACAAAUCUCUGGUCCAAGAUAGAGUUUAGUUGGUGCUACUUAUUCUAUAGAAGUGGAAUGCAGAUAAUAUGUAAUCUGUAGUCCAAAUGUGUACUAGGUUACUCAUGAAGAAAUAUGAAAAUUGAAUUUCUAAAAAGGUGUUAGAAUCGAGAAUCCCGGAUAGUGCGGAAUUAAAUAAAGUAAUCAACUAAAGACAAUAACAAAGACGAUAAUUACGAUAAGUUGAGAAAAUAAAAGAGGCAUAACUUUAACGUGGUUCGGUCAACUUGACCUACGUCCACAAUCAAAAGAAGGAGCAACUUUACUAAACACCAACGGAACAAAAGAGAGUACAAAGACACAAAAGAGAGUACAAAAUUAGAGUAAUUAAACACUCUUAUAUCCCAAAUACCCAAAAGAAUAACCUCACAAAUAUCACUCAAAAUAUUUCCCAACACAACUCUUUCACAAAUACUAAGAAAACAAACACAAUUAAAUCGUAUCAAAUGUUGGUGUUCUUCUCAAAAUGGUGUGUUAUGAAUGAGGAAGAAGGUCCCUAUUUAUAGAGAUAAAAUGAGCUUAUUGAUGUCAUCCAUGAUGUUAAUGGAAGAUGUAAAUUUCAACAUUUGCAUUUGGAUGAAAGGAAUUUAUAACAAAAUCUUUGAUAGCAACUUUGUUUGACCAACAAAUAAUCUUUCAAAAGUCUUUGGUAGCAUCUUUGUUUGAUAAAUCCAAAAAUAAUAUUCCAAAAGUCUUUGAUAGGCUUUUACCAAAUGUGAACAAAAGAAAAAAACAAAGGCCACAUUACAAAAUGAGAUGCAUUCCCUUCUCAACUCUUGGUUCAAGCUUGUUUAGAUAUAGCAAAUGUAUUUGAUGUCUGUGUCCAGUUAAUGGUGCAGGACAGUCUUUAAACUAUGUCUGAUCAGAUAUUAAGUCUUGCUCCUUCUACCAAAAGGAAAAAAGUACAAGAAACAAACUAGAAAAAAUAAACUAAUACUGCAUAUACUAAAAGUAAGAUGCUGUAGCGGCAGAAUUUUAUAGAAGGCAUCAUACAUUUAUGCCCUCCAAAUUUGGAUAUGCAUAAGUAUGCACUUAAACUUGUAUAAAGUUAAAUAAGUAGAUAAACGCGCCCUUCGUGGCAUAAUAUAAAUUAUUUUAAGUGUAUUUCACACGAAUUUUCAUGUAGGACACAUGUAUCUAUUGGUCCAACUUUACACAAGUUUAAAUGUUUACUUGUGUAUUUAAUGUUGGAGGGUAUAGAUGCCCGUUAAGGCCAAAUUAAAAGGCAUGUUUAUGUAUUAUGCCUCUAUAGAAUGGCAUGGAGGAUGCUGUGUCUGGGCUAUAUGGGAAGUAUUAAAAAAUAAGAAUAACUUGGUUUUGCGUUGAGGUUUGUUAGACCUGCAGAUUCUGUUAGCUAAUAAAGAAGCAACAGAAGAUUUGGUUGUGGAACAUCUACAACUUGACGGCCAUUCAAAUGGGACCUAGAAUUCUAUAUCAGCUUUGAGGUUCUUCAACAGUAGGCUUUUCGGUUUUGGUAGUGAGAGAAUGGCAGCCCUAAGAGAUGAGCUUCACCUUCAUGAUAUUUUGAUUUCUUCCAUUGAAAAUACUUAGCACCUUCUUAUGACUUCCUCGUUCAACGGAGAAAUGUAUGUUUCAUUUUCACAACACCCUUUUCCCUUCGCCCAUCUUCCAACCCCAGUAACUAGAAUGAAGAUCUUACUUUAUGCUGAGCUACUUGUUAUACUUCAUUUAUAUGUGGAAAUGCCUCAUAUUAUAACAAUCCAGAUUAGAAUCCAAUAAUCCAAGCUCUAAGUUGAAUGAGGACUAAGUGGAGAUUACUGCUGCUAAGAGCUUACUCUAGAUUUGUUGCACAAAGAUCAUUUCCCUUGUUCUUUUAUUUUUUUAACGAAGGGUACUUUCCUUCCAAC